Molecule: long non-coding RNA, 1157 nt
Filed under: Olea europaea subsp. europaea
Lineage: Eukaryota; Viridiplantae; Streptophyta; Magnoliopsida; Lamiales; Oleaceae
Source: RNAcentral
CAUACAUUUAUCGAAAAGAAAAUUCCUAUAAUUGGGGGCUGAUCCGCCUAACAGAAGCUGAACUGCCUCUGCAUCUCUAGUCACGGACAACUUGGGAAACAAAUUCAAAUUCUGUGUGUCCAAUAGAAUACCUGAAAGCUGAUUAUAAGCAGAUACUAGAUGAUGUUCCUGGCUGUGAGAUGCCUUUUCAAUCUUCUCUCUUCGAAAUUUCCUUGUUCAUCCAUUUUGUCUUUCGUGCUGAAAACUAGUGAAUUCUGGAAAUCCGGAAUGGAAAUUUCAUCUAAAGAAUCUUAAGCUCAUAACAAACCGUAAAUCUUAACAAUAUUAAUGUACCACACACACAUUGUAGUUGAAGGUAAGCAGGCAAUAAUCCUCAUAUUUUAUUUUAAACGUCCAAUCCGAAUUACCAUCCAUUCUUUAUCCGUCUGAGAUACAUGAAAAUACCUCAUUAGAAAAGAACAAAGCAGUGGCAUCAAGGCGAACACGGUCGAAAAGCCAAGCCGCUUGAUGCUUCUUCCACAUUUUGUCUCCAAAUAUUCAUCACAGGUACGAUCAACUCGAAAUUGCUCCUGUCUCCCUCUCCUCUUAUCUUAUCAGCCUUCAUUCUAUUUUCCAACAACCAAGCAUAACAUAUUGCUGCUACCAUCAAGCUCGUACUUAAACCACACAAAAAUGUAAGACCAGGCUAAGUUAAAAUUGUCCCUUAUAAUCAUAUAAUUAUUUCGUCAGUAUCCCUUGACCGCCAAUUUUUUAAUGAUAUAUUGGGUAUUCCUUACUUGUACUCGGUUGCCCUAUAUCCACGUGAAGUGGAUGUAGCUCUAAGUGAGCCACAAUGAAUUCACGUGUUUGCUCUGCCUAUUUCUGAUUUUCGUUUUGCCAUUCAGUGCUCUCAUAAUUUGGUUUAAGGCUUAAUUGCUAAAAGAGGUUAGUUGAUCAAUCUCUAGUAAAUUAAAGAGGUUGUAGAACACUAAAAUGUCAGAGGGAUAAACAAAAAGAAAAAGAAAAGAAAUAUGCAAUACUACAACAAAACUUAGCUGUUUGAAGGUCCAGAGAGCACAAUCUUGGCCUUUCUUCUGAUUUCCCCGCUCAAGAUUUUCUCAAUUUUGAUCCUCUGCUCUUUUAAGAACAAGUUCAAGUCCUGAGCCAUCAAAUCUAUA